UGGCUCAGGAUGAACACUAGCGGCAGGCUUAACACAUGCAAGUCGAGGGGCAGCGCGGAGUAGCAAUACUCUGGCGGCGACCGGCGGAAGGGUGCGUAACACGUGAGCGACUUGCCCGUCACAGGGAGAUAACCGCUGGAAACGGCGACUAAUACCCCAUAUGAUGACGAUCUGCAUGGAUUGUCAUUGAAAGAUUUAUUGGUAAAGGAUGGCGAUGCGUCCCAUUAGUUAGUUGGCGGGGUAACGGCCCACCAAGACGACGAUGGGUAGGGGUUCUGAGAGGAAGGUCCCCCACAUUGGAACUGAGACACGGUCCAAACUCCUACGGGAGGCAGCAGUGAGGAAUAUUGGUCAAUGGACGUAAGUCUGAACCAGCCAAGUAGCGUGCAGGAUGACGGCCCUAUGGGUUGUAAACUGCUUUUAUGCGGGGAUAAAGUGUGGGACGUGUCCCAUAUUGUAGGUACCGCAUGAAUAAGGACCGGCUAAUUCCGUG
This 493-nucleotide ribosomal RNA is filed under the name uncultured bacterium. RNAcentral's name for it is "bacterial SSU rRNA". It matches the Rfam family "Bacterial small subunit ribosomal RNA", at positions 20 to 507 of the family's 1533-position model. The record is from RNAcentral.